ACGUGCCAGCAGCCGCGGUAAGACGUAGGACGCGAGCGUUAUCCGGAAUUACUGGGCGUAAAGGGCCAGUAGGCGGUUUGGUAAGUUGUGCGUGAAAGCCUCGUGCUCAACGCGAGGAAGCCGGACAAUACUGUCAAGCUAGAGGGCAUCAGAGGGGAGUGGAAUUCCCGGAGUAGCGGUAAAAUGCGCAGAUAUCGGGAGGAACACCGAUGGCGAAGGCAGCUCCCUGGGGUGUACCUGACGCUGAGGGGCGAAAGCUAGGGGAGCGAACAGGAUUAGAGACCCUGGUAGUCCUAGCUGUAAACGCUGGGUGCUAGGUGUGGGGCGUAGAAGCUCUGUGCCGCAGCAAACGCGAUAAGCAUCCCGCCUGGGAAUUACGGUCGCAAGGCUAAAACUCAAACGAAUUGACGGGGCCCCGCACAAGCAGCGGAGCGUGUGGUUCAAUUCGAUGCUACACGAAGAACCUUACCUGGGUUUGACAUGUACGUGGUAGAGAAGCGAAAGCGGAUUGACCCUUCGGGGAGCGUACACAGGUGCUGCAUGGCUGUCGUCAGCUCGUGCCGUGAGGUGUCGGGUUAAGUCCCGUAACGAGCGCAACCCUUGCCCUUAGUUACAAGUGUCUAGGGGGACUGCCGGCGGGAAGCCGGAGGAAGGUGGGGAUGACGUCAAGUCAGCAUGGCCCAUAUGUCCAGGGCUACACACACGCUACAAUGGUCGGUACAAAGGGUAGCGAAGCCGCGAGGCGGAGCGAAUCUCAUCAAAGCCGGUCGUAGUUCGGAUUGCAGGCUGCAACCCGCCUGCAUGAAGCUG
This 810-nucleotide ribosomal RNA is filed under the name uncultured organism. RNAcentral's name for it is "bacterial SSU rRNA". It matches the Rfam family "Bacterial small subunit ribosomal RNA", at positions 503 to 1328 of the family's 1533-position model. The record is from RNAcentral.